UCUGUGUGCCAUGGGGGCAGCUCACAGGCUGCUGUUUAAAUCAUGGGCCCUGCCCUGUCAGCUGGAGCCAGCAGACAGGAAUCCUCUGGCUCAGCACAGCCUGCAGCUCCCACCCAGGUGUCAUUCGCCCCUAGAUUUCACAGGCCAUGUGUAAGGGGACUGUUGGCUCCUUACUAAAACUCGGUGGGGGUGUUUCAGUUGGCUAGCUCCCAGGACCAGAAGGAAGGGGAAGGAUUGAUAGGAAAGCAGGACCCUGAGACUGACAGUCCCCAGGAACAAUGGGGAGAGGCCAAUGCCCCAAGUCAGCCUGACUGACAGGGCGGGCAGGCUAAUCAGGGAGUCAGGAGGACAAGGUGGGUCCUGUCCUCCCUGUGAGCUGGAUUGCCUGGGUCAGACAGAGUGGGGCCGAGCUACGGAGAGAGCAGGGGCCUGAGCUGAGCUGCGGAGCAGAGCCGCGCCAGAUCCAGAGAGAACCAGAGCAGCAGCCCGGGGGAGCAGCUAAUGGAUUUGUUCCUCAGUGGAUUCUCUGGAUGUUGAAAUCUUUAUUCAGCUCGCUGCUGGUGUGUGCGCGUUUGUGGGUAUCUGAGUCUGUUCCAUCCACCCUGUGUACAGCUGCUCUUGACCCUGUUUGAAGGUGCUGUAUUGAGAAUUGACAAUGAAAAUAUGUCUGUCACUACUGUGAAUGUAAAACUGUCUCUACUGAAAAGUAAAUACAUUCAAAAUUUCUAUCACACCCUUUCAAUGAGUAAAAGAUGGAGUGGGUGUGUGCAUGUGUGUGCACAGAGUUUCAGAAUUACCACUGCAAGAAAUAUGGGUCUCUUCUGCUCGGUUAUCACAGGACUGCUGUUUCCAUAUGCCUGAUGGGCACUGCCAAAGGGACCUGUGCUGCUCACUGCAUGCAACAUGGUCCAGCCACGUGGGACCAGAACCUGCUCCAUAUGCAAAGUCUCUUGCAACCUGCCCUCCAUCCCCACAGUUCAGCUGUUUGCAGACAAUUGCUGGGGUGACUCCAGACAUCUGAUUGGAGCAAACACUGCCCCACGUCCCAUUGUAGAAAACCUCCAGCCGCCCAGCACAAUCACUGUCGCUCACCAGCCUCAAAUCCAUGAAUUCUAGAAGGAAGUGCACAAAAAGGGAAUUUAAAUCGUCUGAUUCUGAAAUGAACUGGGGUGAAGAGUGAAAUCCCAGCGAUUGCUCAACCCAAAAGUAUAGCCACAUCAUUCUGCAGGAGCAAGUGCAGAGAGAAUCACUCUAAGAAUGAGAGACUCUCCUGGACACCAUGGGACUAUUAGAAAUACAAUGGUCACCUCUGAAAAGUCACCAGUUCCCAGCAGUUACACACACAGACACCUGCAAUACAGCAGUGACUGCCCUGCCAACACUAGAGAAAUGCUGCGAUAUCUCCAAUACUCCUGGGUGGGAACCGAUGGGAAAUGGUGACUUUCUAAUCAUGACCCCAGUUGGUAGGUAGAAGAGUAGAGUGACCAUAUUUUCUCAAAGGGAAAAUGGAACACCCCACGGGGGGCCCAACCCCCAAACCUCCCUUCCUCUCCCCCCCACACAGGUGGGGCCAGCCUGAGACCUACCCUACCUCCCACCUACACAGGGACAGCCUGAGGUUCCCCUAUCCCCUCAGCACGUGGGCCAGCCUGAGCCCCCCCUGCCACCCAGCCUCACUCUGCUAGGGGGCGCAUCCCACUUUUUUGGCAAAACUGUGUAUGUGUCCAAUUUGCUCUUCCCAACUCGUGAUCCGUUGGCAAGAGGAAACGAGAGAAAUGCCCAGUUUUGCCAAAACAGUCGGGACGGCCAGGGCAGGCUUAAAAAAGAGAGUGUCCUGGCCAAAACGCACUGUAUGGGCACCCUAUAGAAAAGACAGUGAGGGAGAGGCUCUAUCAUCCUCAGCUCUCUCCUCAAAUGUCUGCCCCCUCCAGUAAAUCCCCUGGUAACCAGGCUCACGUGAGCAUUCCCAGACCAGACCUGAGCAGAGAACUCCUGCGUCCUCCUUGUGUCUGCAGUUGUGCUGACCCCAGCCCCUGGAAGGACAGUCCGAAAGAUCGGAUUCGUUCCCAGAGCAGUUCACAUCAUCCAGCCAGAUCUGCCCGGAUCCUUCCCCGUAAUGAGCACAGACAGUUGCAUUGAUGGCGCGUCCACAUCCCAGUUGUUUGCAAACGACAUCGGAGUCUGACAGAUCCCAGAAAUCAUCACAGACUGUCCCCCAGCUGCCAUUAUAAUAAAUCUCCACUCUCCCAGCACAGCGACCUGCCCCAUUCACCAGUCUGAUCCGCCUGCUUCCUGCAGGGAUAGAUCCCAGCUGUUAAUAUGCAAUAUGAUGAUUAUUAAAUAGCUUCCAUGCAAAUCAAUGAUGAUGCUACAAUGGCUGAGAUAUUGAAAUGCUUUUUAAAAUCUGUCUUUAACAAGAAACACAGAAACGGAGAAAAGCUGAGUAAGGAAAUGAGGAAUACUUCUUACAGAGCACUAUUGAUAAACAGCAUGUGAGUGUAAGGGCCUAAUUCUGAAUUCCUUACUCAUCGGAGUAGUCCUUAAGGGACUCGUCACAUGGGUCAGAGCUAUUUGUGAGACUAAGGGUUAGCGGAAACAGCCCUUACUCAAAAUCUUGAAUAUUCUCAAACAACUCUUAAAUGAUAAGCAUCAAGGUGUUCAAGGAAUUAUUAGGCAAUUAAUUUACCCAAAACCAAAUAUUCUUUUCAAUUGUUACAGAAUGGGGAGGGGGUGACACUGGCUGACCAGGUCAUGCUAGAGUGUAGUUAGAUCCGUUCACUUGUGUAGAUUAAAGUAAUGGUUAGAUGUAUACGUGUGUAUUCAGAUGUUUAAACUUUAUGAAAACCAGUGGAAUGUUAUGGGUAUUGUUUUUGCGUGUCUAUUGCUGUCAUAAUGUAAUGCCAAACAUUUACAUGAUAAAUACACUUGUAGCUAAAUAACACAUCAAAUAAAUUUUGUGAAAUGCUAAGGAUUUAAGGACUUUAACAGAAAAUGCUAAUUUCAAAGGAAAUAGCCAUUAUGAAUAAGGUCUGAGGUCAAAAAUCUAAGUGCAUUUCUCACUCCCUGUCAUCAAAGGAAAAGCCCACAUGGGUAGAUUGUCAGCUUGUUUUCUGUGAGCUUAUGUUCUUAUGUGAGAAGAAGAUAUAAAUAUGGAUUCAAAGAAAGAUCCUGUAUCUCUGGACUGUUUGGAUUCUAACAGAGAAGAAUAACUGAAUGAGAAGACAGAGAUCCCCAGAGUUAUUCUGGGUAGCCCUGUGUGAUGGGGUGAGCUCCCCACACUAGCCCUGUAAGAGCUGGGUUGGGCCAGGUGGGCCCAAUCAGCUAAUUAUGCUGCAAAGGGUGGAGGUUUAGGCCGGAAUCAGCUGGUUAGAGAGAGUCUCACCUAUUCAGGAACAGGUGGGACCUAUAAAGCCAGGAAGGUGGCUCCGGGUUGGGGCUGUUGGGAACGACUGCAGUAAGGCAGACAGCAGUCAUGCCCUGGGAAGAGGGAGGAGUGUUUGGGGGCUGCAGGGAGACAGUCUGUAGUUAUUCCCUGGGAGGAGGAUUCUUGGGGCUGGCACACCCAGAGUGAGGAGGGGAACCAGAGUAUAGGAAGCAGUCAUACAAUCAUAGAAGAUUAGGGUUGGAGGCCAUCUAGUCCAACACCCUGCUCAAAGCAGGACCAACCCCAACUAAAUCAGUCCAGGGAAGGAGCAGUGUGGGCAGAGGGAGGAAGCCCAGAACUGCUGAGCUGUCCCUGGACUGGAUCCCAGAAAAGAGGGCAGGCCUGGGUUCCCCUACUCAGCCACUGAGGGAGUGGCACCAGGGCAGUGAAUGGGAAGAUGGCCUAGGACUGUUGAUGGACUGAAUCCCGUCAGGGGGAACACUGAGUGACCUAGCUGGAGGGCUAAGUCACAAAGAGGAUGCUGCAGGUCCUGGAGCAAGAGGCGCUGCAGACCAGAGUGAGAGUGAUGGUGUGCAAACUGUGGAUGGGCGUUGGCCUCGAGAGCUAAUCCCCAGAGUGACCAGGAGGAGAUGCCAGACUGGCAGUGAGUGGAGUACCUCAUGACACCCUGUAAAAGACUUUGGGGAAACUGACAGUUUAUUACAUCACUGCCACCAUUUGGAGUUACAAACUGAUUUCCCUGUUGUUAUAUUUUACCUGCUAUAGCCUCUCAAUAACCCUCCUUCUUUCUUCUUAGCUAAUAAACCUUUAGUUAUUUACUAUAGAA
Molecule: long non-coding RNA, 4211 nt
Organism: Caretta caretta (loggerhead turtle)
Lineage: Eukaryota; Metazoa; Chordata; Testudines; Cheloniidae
Source: RefSeq, a predicted model, not a curated record